UGGGGAAUAUUGGACAAUGGGCGCAAGCCUGAUCCAGCCAUGCCGCGUGAGUGAUGAAGGCCCUAGGGUUGUAAAGCUCUUUCACCGGUGAAGAUAAUGACGGUAACCGGAGAAGAAGCCCCGGCUAACUUCGUGCCAGCAGCCGCGGUAAUACGAAGGGGGCUAGCGUUGUUCGGAAUUACUGGGCGUAAAGCGCACGUAGGCGGACAUUUAAGUCAGGGGUGAAAUCCCGGGGCUCAACCCCGGAACUGCCUUUGAUACUGGGUGUCUAGAGUUCGAGAGAGGUGAGUGGAAUUCCGAGUGUAGAGGUGAAAUUCGUAGAUAUUCGGAGGAACACCAGUGGCGAAGGCGGCUCACUGGCUCGAUACUGACGCUGAGGUGCGAAAGCGUGGGGAGCAAAACAGGAUUAGAUACCCUGGUAGUCCACGCCGUAAACGAUGGAAGCCAGCUGUCGGCAAGUUUACUUGUCGGUGGCGCAGCUAACGCAUUAAGCUUCCCGCCUGGGGAGUACGGUCGCAAGAUUAAAACUCAAAGGAAAUUGACGGGGGUCAUAGCUGUUUCCUG
This 564-nucleotide ribosomal RNA is filed under the name uncultured bacterium. RNAcentral describes it as "partial 16S ribosomal RNA". It matches the Rfam family "Bacterial small subunit ribosomal RNA", at positions 355 to 941 of the family's 1533-position model. The record is from RNAcentral.